This is a non-coding RNA of Mustela putorius furo (domestic ferret), 207 nucleotides long. The record is from Rfam. NCBI's taxonomy places the organism in Eukaryota, Metazoa, Chordata, Mammalia, Carnivora, Mustelidae.
UAGACUAUACUUUCAGGGAUCAUUUCUAUAGUUUGUUACUAGAGAAGUUUCUCUGAAGUUGUAGUGUACCCAAGACCACGAGGAGGAGGCAUAGUAUCCCUUCCUGAGCGUGAAGCUGAUCCUGAGUGUUGUGUAUGAUAACUGAACACAACCAUUUCAAUGGUAGGGACAGACUUGUUCAGGGACGGUUGCUUUUUCUCCACUGGU